Small nucleolar RNA from Octodon degus (degu), 129 nucleotides. Lineage: Eukaryota; Metazoa; Chordata; Mammalia; Rodentia; Octodontidae. The record is from Ensembl.
GGAGUGUGCUCAGAGCAGGUGGCCUUAAGAAUGGCUUUUGUUUUUACAGCACACCCAACAGGAAUCUAGGGUCAGUGUGACAAGGAGCACAAUGCUUAUGACUUCCCUGUGAGCAAAUGUCCUAAACAU